AAUUAAGCGAGUUACAAGUCUGCAUCGUCAACACACAGUCUUUGUUUACUUCCGAUCCAAUAUGGCGACUUCGCCGACGCACGUCAAAGCGACAUGUUUGUAAAUUCGACGACAGCAGCCUACAAUUCCCGCGGUGAAUCUCGUGGCCCGCUUGUUUAUGACGACACACAACAUAUAAAUACCAUUCAUUCACGUGAUAGCGUUCUCUUGGAGUCGGUGCCAUCUUUUUGAGACACUCCUCCCAAACAUGAGAGGGAAGUGGAAAAAGAAGCGCAUGCGUAGGCUGAAGCGCAAAAGGAGAAAGAUGAGGCAGAGGUCCAAGUAAACUGCUUCCCUUCUGCUGCUGGAACCAACCCUCUUAGACCUUCCCACCGAACCUCCUAGACCUUCCCACGACCCCUCACCUUUUCCAGAAAUCCAAGCUGAGGCCUUUUGAAGGACUCCUACAUUCCUCAGAAGGAUACGGGCACCCUUGUUGGAUCUCCUGGCUCUUCUAUUUGUGAUGUGAAAGCUUCUCUUGGACAUUCUGGACUUCCGCCAGCUCAGCAAAGUUGCUGUUUUUGUGUGUUUCCUUGAAUAAAGAAAUUUGAUUUAGAAAAUGGAAGCGCUGUAUUCUAUUUCUACCACUACGAUGGUAUACAGAUUUUGUUGUUGAAUGCUCC
Long non-coding RNA from Clupea harengus (Atlantic herring), 662 nucleotides. The record is from Ensembl. NCBI's taxonomy places the organism in Eukaryota, Metazoa, Chordata, Actinopteri, Clupeiformes, Clupeidae.